CCCCAGGGCACACAGGCCGUGGCUGCGAUCUGGGAGGGAGAGGGUCGUUCCUCCGCGGAGAACACGAGGAGAUUUAUUACUAUAUUGUUAUUGUUAUUAUUAUUACACAAGGCAAAACUUGUUUCCACCUCUGGAAUUACAGAAUCCGUUAGGCUGGAAGGGACCACAGUGGGUCGUCUGGUCCAAGCUCCCUGCUCAAGCACCAAGGACAAUCUGGCUCCUUCUUCUUGGUACUCACCCCUUUAGAAUAAUAACAACAUAAGAAUGAAGUCAGCCCUGGGCAGGGAUGCUUUAGUGUCUGGAGCACCAGAAGCAGAGGAAGCAGGCAGGAGUCUCACUCGAUGUGCUCUGGCUCCUGAAGUCAGAGCAAGCACUUGGCAAAGCAGAUAGAUGUGCAAGAACACGUGUUUCCAGACAUCUGCCUAGUGAUCGCAUAUCUGAGCAGUUUGCUGAAACUUGGUCUAAAGUCCAUGAGGUCCUUGGGCUCCUGAAAUGAUUUCCAAGUCUUCAAAAGCUUUCUGAAGGGAACACAGACAUACAGAAGAAUUUCAUAUGUAUAGAUGCAGUGAAAAAAAGAAGAAAAUUUUUUCAAGGAUGCCCCAAAAUUAUCACCCUCCCAGUACAAGACUAGUGAAUGAUACAAUGCUGAUUAUGGUGCAUUGAAUUGGUAAGAAGUGAGGAAUCACAGUGCAGUAAGACAAAGUCUCUAGAUUUCUACAGAGCCCUGGUUGAACUGCUUACAUUCCUCCAGCUAGGUCCAUGAUUUUUUAGCCAUGUCAGAGGAGGGAGGACUCAGAAUGUGCAAUGCCACAGGGUUAAGUGGUGGUGAUGUCUUAGAAGGAGAGGUUCAUCUUCAGGCACAAAAGGCAUUGCAGUAUUGUUGAGUUUCCCCUCCUCCACAGGAUUGCAGGAUUGUGCCAGAGUGUGAGUCAACAAAGAGGUGGUGUGGGCUUUCAGGAUCUUGGGGUUGAAUGGGAAUGCAAACCAUGACCUAACAUACACCAUGUGUCUUUCCCUUCUUCCAGGAGGGAAAACCGUGUUCCUACACUGCAGGUAGGUGCUGUGAAGAAAAAUGUCACAGAAAUGUCACAGAUACUACUGUUAUGGGUAUAGAUUCAGGGCACAGAUUCAGCUUGUUCAGUUCUCUAACAACAUUAUUAUUGUUGUUGUUAUUAUUAAAAUUAUUAAAUUCACAAAUUAUAGUCUAUUAUCAGGCUACACACACGCUGUACAUACUUGUAUGACUAAAGCAAUCAAGACACAUAAAAAGACCUUGAAUUUGAUAAAAAUAGGCAAAUGGGGAGUAUCCCAUCCCAGACUCAGCAGCUGGCAGAGGGUAUGUGCUGCAGUCAUUUACUGUGAUCUUGGACUUUGUUUUGCUUAAGAGUCCAUGAACUUGCGAUAACUUUUACUGGAGCAUCCACGGAAGUACUCAGGAAUGAGUAUGUUUUUUACUGCCCAGUUACCUGUACUCUUAAAAAAAAUUUGUAACCAUGAAUAGAUAUAAAUUCUGUGUGGUGUUUUACACUGUGUUUCUCAGCUUAAUAAAAUAUAAGAGGAAAACUAUAGAAAGAAGGGGGAGGGUGCCUAGUUCGAGCAUAUAAAGGCAGGUCUAUAAAGCAUGUUACACGGUUGAAAAGUGACAUGCAGUUUUAAGAUUAUAUCUGCCAAGUAUGUUGAUGGUAUGGCUUGUGUUCUAUCAAGUCAUUUCUACUGUCUUUGUUUGAGAAGUAUGAACUAGUUUUAUACAAUAAAAAAAAACCAAACCAGUCCUGUUUAGGAAUCAGACAUCACUUCUGUAUAGUCUUUGUCUUUGACUUUGUCACAUGUAAAGACAGCUGACAGAAUUGGUUCUGUAAGGCUGUAGUUAGGAAGAACUCUGUAGAUUGUAACA
Molecule: long non-coding RNA, 1894 nt
Organism: Cyanistes caeruleus (blue tit)
Lineage: Eukaryota; Metazoa; Chordata; Aves; Passeriformes; Paridae
Source: RefSeq, a predicted model, not a curated record